Molecule: ribosomal RNA, 496 nt
Filed under: uncultured bacterium
Lineage: Bacteria
Description: partial 16S ribosomal RNA
Rfam family: Bacterial small subunit ribosomal RNA
Source: RNAcentral
GAUGAACGCUGGCGGCGUGCCUAAUACAUGCAAGUCGAGCGAACGGACGAGAAGCUUGCUUCUCUGAUGUUAGCGGCGGACGGGUGAGUAACACGUGGAUAACCUACCUAUAAGACUGGGAUAACUUCGGGAAACCGGAGCUAAUACCGGAUAAUAUUUUGAACCGCAUGGUUCAAAAGUGAAAGACGGUCUUGCUGUCACUUAUAGAUGGAUCCGCGCUGCAUUAGCUAGUUGGUAAGGUAACGGCUUACCAAGGCAACGAUGCAUAGCCGACCUGAGAGGGUGAUCGGCAAAACGGGACCUGAGACACGGUCCAGACUCCUACGGGAGGCAGCAGUAGGGAAUCUUCCGCAAGGGGCGAAAGCCUGACGGAGCAACGCCGCGUGAGUGAUGAAGGUCUUCGGAUCGUAAAACUCUGUUAUUAGGGAAGAACAUAUGUGUAAGUAACUGUGCACAUCUUGACGGUACCUAAUCAGAAAGCCACGGCGAACUACGU